CCUUGGUUGCAGGGCAGAGAUGGACCCUCGGAGACUUCCCAAGUCUCAGAUCCUACUUCCUCGAACGGAGCACCGACCUCGGGGUUCGGUUCAACGGUCGCUCCUUCGGUCACGUGCACUAUACGCAAAAUGAUGAAUGCUCAUGAUAUGCAUAUGACAAAUAUGCAAGAAGGACCAAGUCGAGUACAACUUGCCUUCUCGGUGCAACAUAGACUAAACAAUAAUUAAAGUUGUUUAACAUCUUAGUGUCUUUACCCAAGAGGUUACAUCUGUAAAUCAAGAUUUCUCUUAAUUCAUAAUUAUUCUUAAUUAACUAAUUAUUAAACCUUUUUACCUUAAUUAACUCUUAAUUAAUUAUUAAUGACAGUAGUUAAGCAUUAAUGCCAAACAAUAAUUAAAUGCCAAAGGUCAUUAAGGUUAAUGACCUUAGGUCAUCACACAAUCCCAAAAUCACUUAAAUCCUAAUUAUGAGGAUUUAACUAAUUAUUAUCUAAUGAUUUUAGCAUUAUUAUUUAAUUAUUCAUUAAGGGUUUAAUAAUAUUUUAUUCCAACAUUAUCCAAAUGCCACCAAAUUUUGUGCGGAGCCAGGGAAUAAUAUUCAGAGGCAUCCCACAAAUUUUGGUGAUUUUUGGACAUAUAAAUAAAUUAUUAAAAUUCCUAGAAGUUGUAUUUACUAAUUAAAAGAGGCAAUUUUUAUACACAUGCAAACUACCAGAAAAUAAAACUUAACAUUUUUCUUGUGUUCUACUUAUUCUAUGGAACCUAUACAAAAAUUUUCAUACUUUUUGGAUCAAUGCACAAUUUAUUACACAAAUACAACAUAAAGCAAAAACUGCACAAAAAGAAAAAGAAAAAAACACUGCGCAUCGAGCAGCCGGGAAAUCGGCCCGCAGGCAGGCCCGCUUACGCCCAGCCCACACGGGCGCUACGUGCACGCUCUCCCCCUCACGCGGUCACUGACGGGCGGGUCCCGCCCGUCAGCUCCGUCUUCUACCUUGCGCCGCGACUUCGGCGAGCUCUCGGCCUCCGCAGUGAGGCGCGCUAGCUUCCCCAACCUCCCGCGCAUCCAUAGACACCCUUUGCACCCACUCUCUCCUAUCCUAGCCCCCGUGACCACGGGCACGGCGGACGGCCGCCUCGGCCGAGCAAACGCCGGCCACUACGAGCGAGUAGAGCGCAAACCAAAGGACGCAUGAGCAUCAGGGGCUCACCACGACUUCAACAGAGCAAGAAGCAGC
This 1238-nucleotide long non-coding RNA is filed under the name Sorghum bicolor (sorghum). Its description in RNAcentral is "long non-coding RNA (SBIC_LNC012948)". The record is from RNAcentral. Lineage: Eukaryota; Viridiplantae; Streptophyta; Magnoliopsida; Poales; Poaceae.